RNAcentral lists this ribosomal RNA (253 nucleotides) under uncultured bacterium. RNAcentral's name for it is "partial 16S ribosomal RNA". It matches the Rfam family "Bacterial small subunit ribosomal RNA", at positions 524 to 776 of the family's 1533-position model. The record is from RNAcentral.
UACGUAGGGUGCAAGCGUUAAUCGGAAUUACUGGGCGUAAAGCGUGCGCAGGCGGUUUUGUAAGUCUGACGUGAAAUCCCCGGGCUCAACCUGGGAAUUGCGUUGGAGACUGCAAGGCUGGAGUCUGGCAGAGGGGGGUAGAAUUCCACGUGUAGCAGUGAAAUGCGUAGAGAUGUCGAGGAACACCGAUGGCGAAGGCAGCCCCCUGGGUCAAGACUGACGCUCAUGCACGAAAGCGUGGGGAGCAAACAGG